RNA transcript from Eriocheir sinensis (Chinese mitten crab), 7682 nucleotides. It is a transcript of the gene named calcium-dependent secretion activator-like, with no coding region annotated. The transcript is spliced from 39 exons. The record is from RefSeq and is a predicted model, not a curated record. Lineage: Eukaryota; Metazoa; Arthropoda; Malacostraca; Decapoda; Varunidae.
CAUACACUUACAUAUCCUUUCCUUUAUUGCAGUGUGAGGGCUCUGGGCCGCCACCGCCGCCGCCCGCGCCGCCAUGUUGGAGCCCAGCAGCUCAGAGGAGGAGUCCGAUGGGGAGGUGCAGGAGGAGGUGCCUCAGCGCAGCGUGCCCCAGCGCUCCGCGGGGCCGCCGGUGGUCCAUGAACACCACGCCACGGACGGGGGCUCGGGACCCACCCCCCACCCCUCCCUGCAGGUGCCCCAGACUGGCACGCUCCCCAGAAGCGGGUCCCCGGGAAGCACGCUGAGUGUGGACACUCUCAGCGUGGGCGGAGGUCGAGGCAGACUCCUGCCGCGGCCCACCUCUCCCUCGCCCUCCGUGAUGAGCGACAAGCCGGCGGCAGCCACUCAGGAAGACCCAGCGGAAAAGCAGGAGAGAGAGGAGGAGGAGAGAAAAAAGAGGCUGCAGCUUUACGUGUUCAUUCUGCGCUGUAUAUCCUACCCCUUCAACGCCAAGCAGCCGACGGACAUGACCAAGAGACAGAUCAAGGUCACCAAGCACCAAUUAGACGUCAUCCAGGGGCGUUUCCAGAGUUUCCUAAAAGGAGAGCUGCAGAUUGCAGCAGACGAGGCCUUCAUUAAUGCUGUCCAGAGCUACUACGAAAUCUUCCUCAAGAAUGAACGCCUUGCCUCAAUGGUGGUGUCCGGUGCCUGCUCCCAGCAUGACCUGCGGGAAGUGUUCAAACACAACGUAGAAAAGAGAGUCAGGUCUCUUCCAGAGAUUGAUGGGCUCAGUAAAGAAACGGUUCUCACUUCUUGGAUGGCCAAGUUUGAUAUGAUUAUAAAAGGUGAAGAAGAUAGCAAGAGACCCGGCAGGAUGCAGCAAAGCCUUAACAGUGAGCUCAUCAUGCCUAAGGAGCAGCUCUUCGAUAUGUUUCAGCAAAUCUUGGGCAUCAAAAAGUUUGAACACCAACUUCUGUUUAAUGCACUUCAGCUUGACAGUCAAGAUGAACAAGCUGCUGCUAUCCGAAGAGAACUAGAUGGCCGCAUGCAGAAAGUGGCAGAGCUAGAAAGGGAGGUUGAAGGUCUAAAGAGAGAUCCAGAAAAUCGCAAGUUAAUGCCCAAGUUUGUGGUGAAAGAGAUGGAAUCCCUUUAUCUGGAAGAGCUCAAGACCUCUAUAAACCUUUUGAUGGCCAACCUAGAGAGUCUGCCUGUUUCCAAGUGCUCUCAAGAAGGGAAAUAUGGGUUACAAAAACUCAGAAAGUACAAUCAUAGGUCAGAUGGCAGCUUGGAAAAUCUAAGUCAUAGUAGGCGUAAAAGAUACAAAGUUUUCGAGUACCUGUCCCCAAGAUUAAGCAGGUCUCAGAGCUCGUUAAGUGGGCGCGACAGUGACAGUAUGGACAACGAGGUGACGCUUUCCAAGAUGGAUGUUGUCUUGUCAUUUGCACUGGAGGUAUUGGUGAUGGAGGUGCGAGAAAUUAAACACUUGCCACCAAACAGAAUAGUGUAUUGCACCAUGGAGGUUGAAGGAGGAGAGAAACUUCAAACUGAUCAGGCAGAGGCAUCAAAACCAAUGUGGGACACACAAGGGGACUUCACGACGACGCAUCCACUUCCUGGCGUAAAAGUCAAGCUGUAUACUGAGUCAGCCUCGAUGUUAUCCCUAGAUGAUAAGGAAUUGGGGAAGGUGGUCCUGCACCCCACAGCAAUGUCAUCCAAAAUACCCGAAUGGUACAAGAUGCAAGUUCCAAAAAACUCCUCAGAAAAUAACCUUAGAAUUAAGAUAGCUGUCAGAAUGGAUAAACCACAAAAUUUGAAGCAUUGUGGCCACCUGUACGCUCUAGGAAAGAGUUGCUGGAAAAAGUGGAAAAAACGGUACUUCUGUCUGGUGCAAGUGUCUCAGUACACCUUUGCCAUGUGUAGCUACAGGGAAAAGAAGAGUGAACCUACAGAGAUGAUGCAGCUGGACGGAUACACAGUGGACUACAUUGAACCAGUGUCAGCUCAGCUUAUGGUUGGAAUGGAUCUGGAGGGUGGUAGAUUUUUCUUCAAUGCUGUAAGAGAAGGAGAAUCUAUAUUAUAUGCCACAGAAGAUGAAAAUGAGUCGCACCAGUGGGUGACGGCACUUUACAGAGCCACUGGCCAAGCCCACAAACCCACCCCACCUGUUAUGCCCCAGGGAAAAAAUUCAACUUUAUCAAAAAUUCAAGGAGAUGCUGACAAGGCAAAAAAACACGGAAUGGAUGAAUAUAUUAGUGCAGAUCCUGUUAGAUUUGAUCACCACAACCUUUUUAGAGUUCUACAGAGUCAAACACUGGAAUACCGUCUUGGUGAUCCCUACUGUUCUUUAGGAUGGUUCAGUCCAGGUCAGAUUUUUACCUUAGAUGAGUACCAGGCUCGGUAUGGUGUGAGAGGCUGCUACCGACACCUGUGUUAUCUUGAGGACCUUCUGGACCGUGCUGAGAAGGGCCAGAUGAUUGACCCAACCCUAAUUCACUACUCCUUUGCCUUCUGUGCCUCCCAUGUACAUGGAAAUAGUCAUCAAGCAUUAAGCCCUGCCGAGGAUGGGACAGUGUCAGUAGGCCAAGAACAAACUCAAGGUCCAAUUGCCCCUAACGUACCAUUUCCAACAAGACCUGAUGGCGUGGGGACCGUCCUGGCAGAAGAAAAGGAGCGCUUCCAACAUAUCAAGGAGAGACUUAGAGUCUUACUUGAACAUCAGAUCACAAAUUUCAUGUAUUGCUUCCCAUUUGGUCGACCAGAAGGUGCCCUAAAAGCCACAUUAUCCUUACUUGAACGGGUGCUGAUGAAGGAUAUAGUGACUCCUGUUCCGCCCGAAGAAGUGAGAGGCAUGAUCAAGAAGUGCCUAGAAAAUGCUGCUCUCCUUAAUUAUACUCGUCUCUCAGCUGAAACCAGAAUAGAGGGUGGCGAAGCAACCCUUCAAGAGGAUCUGAGUGGUGAGAAUGCAGUAUCAGCCGGCAGAAAACUAGAUGACCUGAUCCACCUGGCAGAGCUCUGUGUAGAUCUUCUACAACAAAAUGAAGAGCACCAUGCUGAGGCAUUUGCAUGGUUCAGUGACCUCUUAGUGGAGCACGCUGAAAUCUUCUGGUCCCUGUUUGCUGUGGACAUGGAUCAAGUACUAGCUGAGCAGCCUCCUGAUACCUGGGACUCCUUCCCACUCUUCCAGAUACUAAAUGACUACCUAAGAACAGAUGACAACCUAAAAAAUGGACGCUUCCACCAACACCUCAGAGAAACGUUUGCCCCAAUGGUUGUUCGCUAUGUGGACCUUAUGGAAUCUUCAAUAGCCCAGUCCAUCCACAAAGGCUUCGAGAAGGAACGGUGGGAGAAUAAGGGGAAACCUUCAUCUCCAUCGGACUCGGAACCUCCAAAAAAAGUGGAUCCAGUGGCGCUCGCCAGGAAUGGGUGUGCAACUUCUGAAGACCUCUUCUGGAAGCUAGAUGCCUUACAGUCUUUCAUUCGAGACCUUCACUGGCCGGACCAUGACUUUGCAAAACAUCUUGAACAGAGGUUAAAGUUGAUGGCGUGUGAUAUGAUUGAGUCCUGUAUUACCCGGACAGACCAAGCCUUCCAACAGUGGUUAAAAAAGGGUACUGGCUUUAUCUCAACAGACUAUGUGCUCCCAUCUGAAAUGUGUGCCAUGGUCAAUGUUAUUCUUGAUGCCAAAAACCAGUCUUUCAAACUCUGUGCAGUGGAUGGAGUUGAUGUGCACCAGUACCAUACGAAAAUCGAUGACCUCAUUGAAAGAACCAGUACCUCAAUGACUCAAGGAAUGACGGCCAAGCUGCUGUCUGUUCUAGAAUCAGUCAUAUCCAAGUUGGGCAGAUACGAUGAGGGCAGCUUCAUUGGGUCGAUCCUGUCUUUUACGUACCGUCAGAAUGUAAGUGGCUCUGGAAAGGAGUUGGGGAAGGCGUACAUCAACUUUGCCAGGAACUCCAUGGACCAGAUUAGACAAAAAGUCAAUGAUGAGCUGUGGAUCCUUAACUUAUUUGAGCAAUGGUAUGCAGGACAAGUCACAAUGCUUUGCUCAUGGUUAAGUGAGAGACUAGAUCACAACCUCCAUCCAUACCAGUGUACCUGUUUAGCACACAUCGUCAAGAAAAUUUAUUCGGAUUUUGAACUCCAAGGGAUCAUGGAGGAGAAACUGAAUACCAAAACUUAUCAAACCAUCAGUCAGCGCAUGGCCACGGAGGAAGCUGCGUGCGCACUGCUUGAGGGAAGCAGGAGAGAGGAUGAUAAUCAAUCGUAUGUAUCCAAUUUCAAUUGUUCAUUACAUUUGCAUGUGUUUUCAUCUUAGUCAUAGUUCUGGAAUGUGCUCAAAAUUAGGAGCAGCAGAUUUCUCUUAGAUUAUUGUCCUACAUAACAUUCUCAAAACAAUAAUUUUGUGUAGUGUAUGUUUACAGAUAUGUGUCCCAUACAACAUCAAUGGAUCACUAUUUAUCAUUUGCCAGUUUUCAUUUAGUUUGUAAUUUUUUACAAUACACCGCUGAUAAUUUCAUUCCUAUUAUCAGGUAUAUGUGCAUGCUACAUUUUAGCAAAACAAGUUGAUAAUAUAUGGGAAGCUAAUAUGAUUACCUUUAUAUACAUAACUAUUUUCAUAUACAUAAUGUAGAUUUAUUCUUUAGAAAAAUCUUUGCAUAGAGCAACCCAUGUUCAGUAAUAGUUGUGACAUGGAACAACUGCUAAACCCACAAAAUACCAGACCCAGCUGGAUAAACAAAAAAAAAAUGCACACCAGUGUGAUUUGAGUUAAUAUCAACAUAGUGACAAAACAUAAGUGACAAAACAGAAAUGUUUUAAUUUCUAUAUGUAUCACAUUGCUUUUGAAGCACAAAUUGCUUAACCAGAUCUACAUCACACUGCUUUUGAAGCAUAAAUUGCUUAACCAAAUCUACCAGUAAAUUUCUGGCUUUCAGUUGUGCUUGUCCACUUUAUUGGAGCAAGGUAACACAGUUUCUCCAUAUUUUUCACUUGUAGGUGAAAUUCAGUUUCGAAAAAUCUCGAGCCAAUAAUAGAUGAGUAUCAAUUCAUGAAUCCCAAAUGACUGAAGGUAAGAUAGCAUUCAAAGAACACAUCUACCAAUGUCAUCAUCAUGAAAUGACAAUCAUUAUUUCACAUGCAAGGACAAAACUGUAGGGGUUCUGCAACCAUUUAUGGUGGUGAGGCUUUGUACUGUAACAAAGAGGUAAGGCAGCGAGCAAAAUGGAAAAGGCACACCCACAGGGGCAAGCAGCUGGAGCUGAACAGGUGGGAAAAAAAUUCCUGCAAACACAUAAAAACAAACAAUGAAGGAAAAAGUGCAUUAGCUCAAGGAGGUUUGUGGAAAAAGGUAGAGGAAAGCUCAUCAUGAUAACAUGAUAAGCAUGGAGAUACACACAAGGCAGAACAUGUGGUUGUUCCAAACGCAUAGCCAAGCAUGGCUCAGCAUUGGAUCAAAAUGACUCUGCUGCAUUUGACCACUCAUGAGUGUACAGUAAGACCGCUAAGUUGGCACAAUUGAGGCGAUUCAAGGUGCUACAGGUGACAAGAAAAAAUGCAGAGUGACUACAGCUGUCUCAAUCCCUGGAUCUUUUUAUGAACAUACAGCAGUCAUUCAAGUUUCAUCGUCCAACCACUUUGCAUACAAGUGAUAAGGACAUCAGAAUGUACGGCAAUAUUUGCACCUUCUUUUCCUCCAGUGGUGCAUUUUUCAUGAAGACGAAGGGGGAUUCUCAACCAAAAUCAAGGACAUUCAUGAUGCUGCCGAUGUCAACAAAAUGCUUUGUAUUUUUUUACUACUAAUUAUUAUUUACAUCCUUUGUAAUGAUAAAACUGAAUUAUUGUUUAGUUCUGUAGUUGGGUAUCAGCCACGGUGGGGUCACUAUGCUACCUGGGGAACAGGUCCAGGCACAAGGCCAGGAAGCUUGAGCCCCAGUGGGCAGCCCUUGCUACCAGGCAAUCUCUCUUUGAUUUUGUAUAUGACGAUGAUGAAAGAGCAGGGAAUUUUUUUGCUUACUUUUACAUAAUAUGGCUGACAAAUGAGUGAAAUAGUUAGUAUCAUUGUGAGGAAUAGUGGGAAUCCACUGUACUCUUGUCAAUAACAACAUGGAGGCAACAACAACAUCAACAACAUGGUGACAACAGCUACGUACGUCAUCAACAACAUGGCAGUGAUAACGCCAUCAACAGGAUGGUGACAACAACAUGGUGGCAACAAUUACAUCAACACUGCAGCAACAAAAGCAUUAUCAACAACAUGGCAGCAAACAAAUGUUAUUACCGAUGUGCUCAGACACUUUCUAUGAAAUCACCAGUAUUUGAGAAUCUAAACAUUACUAUAAAAAAUGGGUGCCUAUUCUAACCUGCCAUCAUUCAACAAAGUAACAAGAAUUCCACAAAGGCGCUUGGGCCUCACAGAGGAUCUGAUAUGCAGAAGCAAGGUGUCUGGGCAUAUCAAUACGAAGCAGCUGCCUACCCGUCAAAAAAGGUGUUGUGACUCAAUUUCCAUGGUAGGUUUUAAAGUUUGGUAUUUCUGGAAGUAAAAUAAGAGGUGAAAUCCGUAGUGAUGAAAACUGCAUUGGUGAACUACAUCUUUUUUUCUUUUGGUUCUUCAAUUCAUUGUAACUUUGCAUUCUGCACCAUCAAUUACAUACAUAUUGUGGGAGUAUUACAAAUAAAUUGAUCAAAAGGCUUGACUCAUUAGCUCUUGAAAAAAUCUACUUUAAUCCUGAGAUAUUACUGACUAGAAAUAUGUGAUAAUAAUAGUUUUUUGCAACAACCUCAACGUGUUUUCUCUUUAGCUAAAUUCCUUUAUCAGGCAGAUUACUAUUGUAAAAACUGGAAAAUUGUGUAUAUAAUAUUGAUAAUAAAAUAACAAGUGAAAAUUCUUUAAUGUCAGUUCUAUAUGAAAGUAAAGACAGUCUUUCUAUUCUUGUUACUGUGUGCAUUCUAAAUCAGCCAUCUAUUUAAGAAGGUACAUCUAAGUGAAACACAGUUGUAAAUAUAUUUUCUGGAGUUCUCAAAAUUCAAGCUGUUCAAAAUUUAUUGUAACUUUUCACCUUUAAUUCUAUUCUGCCAUCAUUGAUCACCUCUGAUUAAUUUAAUACCCCAAACCUAUCAUUAUUAUUUUGAGUAUCAUGCAAGGGUGAAUAGCGCUGACUUUUGUUACUGCAUGUUGGUAUUGAAGAUGGUGCAGCAUUUGAAUAUUUUAUCUCAAAAGGUUUAUAAGUAUUAUGAUGGUCAGUUUAGGAAAGCAGAUGUAUGUAAUUUAUUCCUGGCACUUCCUUUAGUAGAUAUUGGUACCUUAUCAUAAAUGGCUCUUGCCUAAUUUUCCAGAUGUAUAUAAUUUAUUAAAAAAUUCUUAAAUCACGAAAGACAUGCUCAAGUUGAACAACAGUAGUGUAUACCCGGCUUGCCUCCCUCUAUAUCACACGUAAGAGGACACAUCCCCCUUACCUUAUUGCAAUAUAUUGACUCUCUUUAGUAUCUGCAUUAUUCUUUAUCUUACUGACCCUUUUUUUUUCCCUUUCACUAACCCAGUCUUCCUGAGGGGGCUGAAGGAGAGGAGUAUCCAGAAACUGGAAUUGAAGAUGAUAUGGACAAGAAACCAAAAGUGACAGCUCAGCUCAGUCAGUCACUUGAUGACCCUGCAAACUAUGUGGCUAAGGUGUCAAACGUAGCAGGAAAUAUGGCUGGAAAAGUUGGAA